This 253-nucleotide ribosomal RNA is filed under the name uncultured bacterium. RNAcentral's name for it is "partial 16S ribosomal RNA". It matches the Rfam family "Bacterial small subunit ribosomal RNA", at positions 524 to 776 of the family's 1533-position model. The record is from RNAcentral.
UACGAAGGGGGCUAGCGUUGUUCGGAAUCACUGGGCGUAAAGGGCGCGUAGGCGGGUCUUUAAGUCAGGGGUGAAAUCCUGGAGCUCAACUCCAGAACUGCCUUUGAUACUGAAGAUCUUGAGUUCGGGAGAGGUGAGUGGAACUGCGAGUGUAGAGGUGAAAUUCGUAGAUAUUCGCAAGAACACCAGUGGCGAAGGCGGCUCACUGGCCCGAUACUGACGCUGAGGCACGAAAGCGUGGGGAGCAAACAGG